This 320-nucleotide ribosomal RNA is filed under the name uncultured eukaryote. Its description in RNAcentral is "partial 18S ribosomal RNA". It matches the Rfam family "Eukaryotic small subunit ribosomal RNA", at positions 1470 to 1796 of the family's 1831-position model. The record is from RNAcentral.
CCCCUAGAUGUUCUGGGCCGCACGCGCGCUACACUGAACAGUUCAACAAGUCUUAACCUUGGCCGAUAGGUCUGGGUAAUCUUUGAACGCUGUUCGUGAUUGUGAUAGACCUUUGCAAUUAUGGGUCUUCAACGAGGAAUUCCUAGUAAACGCAAGUCAUCAGCUUGCAUUGAUUACGUCCCUGCCCUUUGUACACACCGCCCGUCGCACCUACCGAUUGAAUGGUCCGGUGAAAUCUCGGGACGGCGGCUUGGUCGCUUGCGUCCGACUGCUGAAACUUGAUUAAACCAUAUCAUUUAGAGGAAGGUGAAGUCGUAACA